This 455-nucleotide ribosomal RNA is filed under the name Otopleura nodicincta. RNAcentral's name for it is "partial 16S ribosomal RNA". It matches the Rfam family "Bacterial large subunit ribosomal RNA", at positions 1842 to 2640 of the family's 2925-position model. Lineage: Eukaryota; Metazoa; Mollusca; Gastropoda; Pyramidellidae. The record is from RNAcentral.
AAAAUGCAAGGUACAGCCUGCCCAGUGAUUAAUUCAACGGCCGCAGUACCCUGACUGUGCUAAGGUAGCGCAAUCAAUUGGCUUUUAAUUGGAGUCUUGUAUGAAUGGGUUAACGGAAACAAGCUGUCUCAUGGAUGUUUUAUAGAAUUUAAUUAAGAGGUGAAAAUUCCUCUAUUAUGAAAAAAGACGAGAAGACCCUUAGAAUUUUUAGAAAAGCGGUGAGAUUACUUGUUGAUUUUUGUUGGGGCGACACUGAGACAAAAAACUCUCAGUCAUAGAAGCUAUUUUUUGAUAUUUUUAAUUUAAAAUAAAUUACCUGAGGGAUAACAGCAUAAUUUAUAAAAGUUUGUGACCUCGAUGUUGGACUAGGGAUUCCUUAGACUAGCCGUUUAAGGUUUUUGCUCUGUUCGAGCAGUUUCCCCUACAUGAUCUGAGUUCACGGGAGAGACUCUCCA